This is an RNA transcript of Gorilla gorilla gorilla (western lowland gorilla), 5477 nucleotides long. It is a transcript of the gene named DDB1 and CUL4 associated factor 16, with no coding region annotated. NCBI's taxonomy places the organism in Eukaryota, Metazoa, Chordata, Mammalia, Primates, Hominidae. The record is from RefSeq and is a predicted model, not a curated record. The transcript is spliced from 3 exons.
GGCGUUUCUAAGGGGGAGGGGCCUUGACUCGGCCGGAAGUAGCGUUGGCGCGGGAGCUGAGCGGAGUGGCGUUGCCACCGGAGGGGAAGGGCUGCUGGCGUUAGGCCUAGCUGGGUCGUGCGGCUGAGCGUGAGGCUAGAAAGAAAAAGCGAUCCUCCAAGAGUGAGAACGGGAGAUCUGCCGAGGAUAACAACCUCCCUUGUGGCCGAAGGGCGGGGGAUCCCCACACGAGGGCUCCGCUUCGAGAGACGGCGACAAAGGAAAGUUCGUAGCGCGUUCCGGAGGCCCGGCCACCUCUGAGAAGGGAGACGACGCUGCUGGGUCCGCUGAGCGGGGCGACCCGAGGUUAGUGAAGACGGAUGCUGUCUUUUGAAGGCCUUAGUCCCUGCCCUGGUGAAGCCGACUGCGAGGUUCCGCAGGGCGUGCAGGCAGCCCGGGGAUCGCUGCGAAGGGGGGUGCGGGCUAACUUAGCUGCUGCCGUUUCUAGAUGUGCAGCUGUGGAGGCCCUGUUUACAAGUGUGCAUAAGGACAGUGUAUUAAGGGAGAACUCAAGAGAAUGGAAAGGUCUUUCGGGUAGUGGUUAAAAUAGAGAAGAGUAGGAACUAGGUUUUUAAAUUUUAAAUGAAAUUGUAUCAGACAGAACUUCUGUUGGAUCUCAGGAUGCACCAUCCAAAAAUAGGACUGUAGGAAACCAAAAUAUGCCACCCUACAAUAUACUUCUAGGGUAUAUUUUGAGCUGGUAUUCUGAUAAAAUGCAGACACAGGAGUCGCUCUGAAAAUCUGUCCUGUUGUAAAAGAAAUUGACAUCUACAGAGGAAAUAUACAUCAGUAAAGGAUCUGUAUCAGAAAGAGGGCAGCUCUGCGAUAAUUUUUGUUACCUGGGAGAUCUUAUCUGCAUACCAAGACAACUUUUAUUCACCGUAUAUUUCCUCCCCUCACCUUUCCACAACUUUGUGGCCACCAUCCCCCAGAAAGCCGCAAGCACCCAUUUCUUGAGUAGCGUAGGAUGCUGUAUAAUCUUCAAUCAUCUGACCAUGGUGGGACUCCUCUGCGUAUGUAAUUAAGUACGGGUUUUUUUUCUUGUUAAUGUCUAUGUCAGGUUAAUUUGUAACCCAGCCAAAGAACCUAGGAGGAUGGAGGGAAGCCGUUUUUCCCUCUCCUACACCUCAGUAACCUACUGCCAGCUGAAGAAAUAGAACGUUACUAAAGCCACCUGUACAUCUUUCUCCUUUUGAAUUACCUGCCCUCCGAAGAACUUAUAUAGAAUUGGUGAUAGGAUCACAACUUCUGAGGUCCCAGCAAGAGUCCUAACAUCUAGCAGCUCUACCACCAGGACAGGCCCCCUAAAACUAAGUCCAACAAGCACCUCUGAAGGUUAAGGCUACCUUUCCAGAUAGUCCAACAGCUAAAUCACCAGUUUCCAAGGGCAUUUGCAUCACCUAUGGAAAGCAUCGGAUCCUUAUACACCAGAUGUUCUUGACAGCUCAUCCCGUCAUUCCCCCCUGCACAAAAGUUGCUAUACCAGCGGACAAGCAAGACAACUACUGAGCUUCUUUUGAUUGUCAAGUAGAUAUAAUAUCACUGCCAGCAAAACAGCACAAAAAGUGUCUCUUCACAGUAUCACUACCAGUUGGGACUAUGCUAAGUAAAUCAGCUUGCCUAGAUGAGGACCCCUUCUCUUCUUGGGUAGCCAGGAUUUGAAGGAGAUACUCUGACCUGUGCCACUGGUAAGUGACUAAUACUUUUACACACUGAACUGGUCCUGGAAACAGAUGUCUUCUUUGUAAGUGAAGAAUAUACAACAUAAUCUUGAAGAACGGCACAGUGGUGUGGGCCACAAGCAUACUUUAUGUGUUUAACGGACUGAAAGACAAAUUAAUCUUGGCGAAAGGAUUUUUCAUCUCUUAUUUCUAUUUGCCAGUGUUAGUCAGUGUUCUGCUGGCUUAGAUUAUUACCUUUUUCUGGUUCCUUACUCUGUUUUAUUCUGAUGGGUCCUAGAAAUCCCUCUCCUGACCACUUGUCAGAAUCAGAAAGUGAGGAAGAAGAAAAUAUUAGCUACCUAAAUGAGAGUUCUGGGGAAGAGUGGGAUUCCUCUGAAGAAGAGGACUCUAUGGUGCCCAACUUAUCGCCUCUUGAGAGUCUUGCCUGGCAGGUUAAGUGCCUUUUAAAAUAUUCCACAACUUGGAAACCUUUAAAUCCUAAUUCCUGGUUGUAUCAUGCUAAACUCUUGGAUCCAAGCACACCAGUCCAUAUACUUCGAGAGAUAGGUCUAAGACUCUCCCAUUGUUCCCAUUGUGUCCCCAAACUGGAACCAAUUCCUGAAUGGCCGCCUCUGGCCUCUUGUGGAGUCCCACCUUUUCAAAAGCCUCUUACAAGUCCCAGCCGGCUCUCUAGAGAUCAUGCCACUCUAAAUGGAGCACUGCAAUUUGCCACCAAACAGCUAAGCCGAACAUUGAGUAGAGCCACUCCCAUACCUGAAUACCUAAAACAGAUCCCUAAUUCAUGUGUUUCUGGGUGUUGCUGUGGCUGGCUGACUAAAACAGUUAAGGAAACAACUCGUACUGAACCCAUCAACACUACUUAUUCUUACACUGACUUCCAAAAGGCAGUUAACAAACUCCUAACUGCAUCACUGUAAAGAUCUACCAUUUGCUCUGAUAUCUCUGAUGUUGCUAAUUGAGAAAGUGGACAAAGUUAGUCAUUAUACAGCCCACUAAUGCCUUCUCAGUCAAACUCUCUUAUGCCCUGGCAAGCCAAUGAGGAUACCCUUUGACAAACCCUGUGGAUAAAAUGAUAAUAUCAAGGUCAGGCAUGGUGGCUCACACCUGUAAUCCCAGCACUUUGGGAGGCUGAGGUGGGUGGAUCUGCUGAAGUCAGAAAUUUGAGACCAGCCUUGCCAACACAGUGAAACCCCGUCUCUACUAAAAAUAAAAAAAUUAGCCGGGCGCAGCAGUGCACGCUUGUAAUCCCAGCUACUCGGGAGGCUGAAACAGGAGAAUCACUUGAACCCAGGAGACGGAGGUUGCGGUGAGUCGAGAUUGUGCCACUGUACUCCAGCCUGGGUGACAGAGCGAGACUCAGUCUCAAAAAAAAAAAAAAAGAAUUAGUUAAGGGGACCAUAUUACAAAAGAUAGUUGAAUAUUCUUCACACUCACUUCUCACCCUCCCCACCCCAAUUUACUCUGCCUUUCUGAAUGGCUUUAAUGAGAUAUCUGAUUAUUAAUGAAGAAAAGUAGACCACCACCCCUUUUGUUAUCCAGACUUCAGAACAGCCAUUGUUGAAAGCAAGAAGUUAGCUACCCACAAUAAUACCUUUCUGAGCAUACUCUUCUCUAACAUGCAUUUCUAUGGAAGUAGUUGAAUUAAAUUGAGUAACUACACAAAGGAAAAUGGCAGGGCUAUGAAUUUCUUUCCCAGCUUUUAUAUAGAUGUGCCUACAUAUGACACUCUUUAGGGUUCCUUUUAUUUUAUUUAUUUUUUUUUUUUGAGGUAGUUGAAUUAAACUGGGUAACUACACAAAGGAAAAUGGCAGGGAUAUGAAUUUCUUUCCCAGCUUUUAUAUAGAUGUGCCUGCAUAUGACACUCUUUAGAGUUCCUUUCAUUUUUUCUUUUUUUUGGAAGGGGGCAGGGAGGCAGGAGGAGUGCAGUUUUAAGCCUAGCCUAUACUUCUACAAACUUAUUAUGGUACUUAAAAUUACAGCAUGAACGUUCUAUAUCAGAGUCUCCCACCAGGCUGUCUCUGGCUAAAUCAGCCUAUAAGAUCAUCCCUUGGGAUUAAACAAACACCUGUUCUGUAGGGAAUGUGUUUCCUGAAUCUUGGUACUCAGACUUUUGUCAAGAGUAAAUAAAAUUUCAAAAGAUGAAUGGAAAAAUGAUUAAGAGAGCAUUUCUGCUUUCAGUAUUAACUGCUAAUGGAUUAAAAUUUUAAUCUGUAUAGCAUUUCCUGGAGUAAAAGUUCAAGUACUUUCCACAUCCAUUGCAAACUUUUCAGGAACCCUUCUAAUUUUUUUUUUUUUUUUUUUUGAGACGGAGUCUUGCUCUGUCGCCCAGGCUGGAGUGCAGUGGCACGAUCUCAGCUCACUGCAAGCUCUGCCUCCCGGGUUCGUGCCAUUCUCCUGCCUCUGCCUCCCGAAUAGCUGGGACUACAGGUGUCCACCACCACGCCCGGCUAAUUUUUUGUAUUUUUAGUAGAGACGGGGUUUCACCGUGUUAGCCAGGAUGGUCUUGAUCUGCUGACCUCGUGAUCCACCUGCCUCGGCCUCCCAAAGUGCUGGGAUUGAACCCUUCUAAUUUUAAAGAACCUUCUUAUUAGAAAAUCUCAGCCUAAUACAAUCUGAAGUUAAGAGUUUUAGCAGCAUUGUUUUUCUAAGUAGAUUUAGCUAUAGAUUUUCUUCUGGCCAAACAAGGAAGAGUAUAUGCCCUUGUAAAUGAGUCUUGUUUUGUUUAUUUAAAUAAUCAGUCAAAACAUAGAAAUCAGUAUACGUAAAAUAAAAUGCAUGAGACUAUUAAAUCUUUUCAUAUACUCUACAAAUAAAAUGAAAUCUGUGUGUGGUCCUGGUUGACUGGGCAUCUAAAGGGAAUUAGAAAAGAGAUUAUGAAAAGUAUAUAUAUAUAUAUAUAUCCUCUUCCUUAUUUUAGUUUUGCUUUUUCCUAUUUUCCAUAAUUAAGUGCCGUUUACAAAGUGGCAUCAAAAAAUUGAAGCAGGCCAGGCAUGGUGGCUCAUGCCUGUAAUCCCAACAGUUUGGGAGGCUGAGGCAGGUGGAUCACUUGAGAUCAGGAGUUCGUGACCUGCCUGGCCAACAUGGUGAAAGCCCAUCUCUACUAAAAAUAUAAAAAUUAGCCGGGCAUGGUGGCGUGUGCCUGUAAUCGCAGCUACUUGGGAGGCUGAGACAGGAGAAUUGCUUGAACCUGGGAGGUGGAGGUUGCAAUAAGCCAAGAUCGCGCCACUGCACUCCAGCCUGGGCAACAGUGAGACACCGUCUCAAAAAAAAAAAGGCAGUUAGGAAUCAUAAAUUGUGUAAAUAUAUAGCAACUUUAAGAAGAGAGAAGAAUGCUUAUAACCUAGUGAAUAUUUCUGCUGAGCCUUAGUUGUCUUGUCUAAAGGAAAAAAGAGGGAAUUGUAGAAUAAAAGUAUUAGUGGAAAUUAUUGACCUGAAACCAUAUCAUAUUGUUAGUGUAACUGAAUGUAUCAGAAAUUGUUCCUAUGUAGGUAUUCUGUGAAACUGGUUUCUAAAAUGUUACAGGAAACUGUUUCCUUUUUUGUUUGUUUGUUUGUUUAAGUGGAGGUGGGAGGAGGUAGGGAAGAGGUCUGAAUAUUAAAAUAUGUUGAUGUUUAUGUGUUCAUAAUACGUUCCUUUUUCUCUCUUAUGUGUGUAUAAAAGUGCCUUGCUCAUGAAUGCAUUUUUGCUAUUCACUUCGAAAGGAAGCCUUUCCCCAGCUUGGCAGCUGAAUAAACCAAUAGCUUUGUACAUGCUGAA